UGUCAAUCGAGGAGUGCGGAGUGCUCUUUAUUUACAGCAUAAUUAUAUAUAAGUAUAGCUGGUGAUGUAGGAUUCAUUUUCCGAUUUACAAGAGAGAUUUACAAAAGAGAGGAAAUAUCAAUUAAUUUUUUUACGUUCUAUAAUAGAUUUGUCCUUGGACAUUAAAAAUAUCAUCAAGGGCAAUGAAUAUGUCUUAACAUAUGGGAUCAAUUGUUGUAUCAAAUUCAAAAAACCACCAUUUGAAAAAUUUGACCCUGGCUAAGAUAAACAUCAGUGAACAAUAUAUUAUAAGGAAAACUCUGUACAAGAUACUAGAAAUGCUAAAAGAUGACCAAGAAGCUUUUACACAAGUUAGGCUAUUAAACAACAAUC
Long non-coding RNA from Temnothorax curvispinosus, 372 nucleotides. RefSeq lists it as uncharacterized. The record is from RefSeq and is a predicted model, not a curated record. The transcript has 4 exons. NCBI's taxonomy places the organism in Eukaryota, Metazoa, Arthropoda, Insecta, Hymenoptera, Formicidae.